This 67-nucleotide transfer RNA is filed under the name Chelonia mydas (Green sea turtle). It matches the Rfam family "tRNA". From Rfam's summary of the family: Transfer RNA (tRNA) molecules are approximately 80 nucleotides in length. Their secondary structure includes four short double-helical elements and three loops (D, anti-codon, and T loops). The record is from Rfam by way of RNAcentral. Lineage: Eukaryota; Metazoa; Chordata; Testudines; Cheloniidae.
GGCAGUGUGGUCUAGUAGGUAGGACAUUGGUCUACAAUAGAUGAGGGUUCUAAUCCCAUCUCUGCCA